UACGUAGGUGACAAGCGUUAUCCGGAAUUACUGGGCGUAAAGCGCACGCAGGCGGCUGAGAAAGUCUGACGUGAAAUCUCCGGCUUAACCGGGAGCGGUCGUUGGAAACUACUUGGCUUGAGGCGAUGAGAGGGGUGUGGAAUUCCCGGUGUAGUGGUGGAAUGCGUAGAUAUCGGGAGGAACACCAGAGGCGAAAGCGGCGCACUGGACAGUAACUGACACUCAAUUGCGAAAGCGUGGGGAGCAAACAGGAUUAGAUACCCCGUAGU
This 269-nucleotide ribosomal RNA is filed under the name uncultured bacterium. RNAcentral's name for it is "partial 16S ribosomal RNA". It matches the Rfam family "Bacterial small subunit ribosomal RNA", at positions 524 to 794 of the family's 1533-position model. The record is from RNAcentral.